Molecule: long non-coding RNA, 1346 nt
Filed under: Capsicum annuum
Lineage: Eukaryota; Viridiplantae; Streptophyta; Magnoliopsida; Solanales; Solanaceae
Description: long non-coding RNA (CANN_LNC000026)
Source: RNAcentral
CAACCAAAAGGAGGAGUAACUUUACUAAACACCAAUGGAACAAAAAGAGAGUACAAAGACAUAAAAAAGAGUACAAAGUUAAAGUAAUUAAAUACUCUAAUAUCCCAAAUACCCAUGAAAAUAAUCUCACAAAUAUCACUCCAAAUAACAGGUUCACUCAAAGUAUUUUACAACACAACUCUCUCACAAAUACUCUCUACAAAGAAGAAAAACAAACACAACUACAUCUUCUCAAAUAUUGUGUUCUUCUCAAAUUGGUGUGUCCCCUCAGUUGGGGUGUUCUUCUAUAGAGCUAAUGAGCUCCUUAUAUAAGCAAGAAUUGUCCCCAUUGAUGUCAUCAAUGACAUCAAAGAACCAUACAAUUUGCAACCAUUUUUCUUAAAAAUAUUUGUCCAUCUUUAACUAGUUCUUUGGCAGUCAAAGAAGAAAAUUCUUGCUGCCAAAGUUGAACAAAAUGGGGCUGGACCUUACAAAUUUCCCCCUCCAGUUUCAUACAUCAUAGGAAGGUAUCUCCGUCUUCUUAAAGAGAUUUAGUAUAAUACUAAAUCUCGCCUUUUUAUCAAGGCUAUCAAACUCCCCGUCUGUCAUUUUUUUUGAAAUUUUCUCCUUUCCUUGCAGUACGAUAUCAGAAUCAUCCUGAACUAGGAUAGCUUUCAUUUUCAACUGCCACAUACCAAAGUUUGCAUUUCGGUUAAAUUUCUCAACAUAAAUCUUUGUAAUCGUUAUGGUGACUACUAAGACAAAAUCGAGAUUAACCUGCUCUGAUACCAAUUUGUUAGGAUCGAAAAUCCUGGAUAGUGCGGAAUUAAACAAAAUAAUCGAUUGAAUGCGAUAAAAAAGACGAUAAUAACGAUAAGUUGAGAAAAAUAAAAGAGGCACAAAUUUAACCUGGUUCGAUCAACUUGACCUACGUCCACAACCAAAAGGAGGAGUAACUUUACUAAACAUCAACGAAACAAAAAAAGAGUACAAAGACACAAAAGAGAGUACAAAAUUAGAGUAAUUGAAUACUCUAAUAUCCCAAAUACCCAAGAAAAUAACCUCACAAAUAUCACUCCAAAGAAGAGGUUUACUCAAAGUAUUUCACAACACAACUCUCUCACAAAUACUCUCUACAAAGAAGAAAAACAAACACAACUCCAUCUUCUCAAAUGUUGGGUUCUUCUCAAAUUGGUGUGUCCUCUCAGUUGGGGUGUUCUUCCAUAGAGCUAAUGAGCUCCUUAUAUAGGCAAGAAUUGUCCCCAUUGAUAUCAUCAAUGACAUCAAUGAACCAUGCAAUUUGCAGCCAUCUUUCUUGAAAAUAUUUGUCCAUCUUUAACUAGUUCUUUGGCAGCCAAAGAAGAAAA